RNAcentral lists this ribosomal RNA (107 nucleotides) under Sphenodon punctatus (tuatara). The record is from RNAcentral. Lineage: Eukaryota; Metazoa; Chordata; Lepidosauria; Sphenodontia; Sphenodontidae.
UCUACGGUCAUACCACCCAGAACAUGCCCAAUCUCGUCUGAUCUCAGGAUUGGGCCUUGUUAGUACGUGGAUGGAAGACUGCCUGGGAAUACCAGGGGCUGUCUGAA